CACCAGACUCCUACGGGAGGCAGCAGUGGGGAAUAUUGGGCAAUGGGCGCAAGCCUGACCCAGCAAUGCCGCGUGAAGGAAGAAGGCUUUCGGGUUGUAAACUUCUUUGACAGGGGAAGAGCAGAAGACGGUACCCUGAAAACAAGCCACGGCUAACUACGUGCCAGCAGCCGCGGUAAUACGUAGGUGGCAAGCGUUAUCCGGAUUUAUUGGGUGUAAAGGGCGUGUAGGCGGGAGCGCAAGUCAGAUGUGAAAACUCAGGGCUCAACCCUGAGCCUGCAUUUGAAACUGUGUUUCUUGAGUGCUGGAGAGGCAAUCGGAAUUCCGUGUGUAGCGGUGAAAUGCGUAGAUAUACGGAGGAACACCAGUGGCGAAGGCGGAUUGCUGGACAGUAACUGACGCUGAGGCGCGAAAGCGUGGGGAGCAAACAGGAUUAGAUACCCGGGUA
This 448-nucleotide ribosomal RNA is filed under the name uncultured bacterium. Its description in RNAcentral is "bacterial SSU rRNA". It matches the Rfam family "Bacterial small subunit ribosomal RNA", at positions 329 to 792 of the family's 1533-position model. The record is from RNAcentral.